GCAAGUCGAGCGAUCUGCCUUCGGGUAGAUAGCGGCGGACGGGUGAGUAACGCGUGGGUAACCUGCCCUUAAGACGGGAAUAACUUCGCGAAAGCGGGGCUAAUGCCCGAUGAUUUCUUUUGACGAUUGUUAAAAGAACAAAUGUGUUCCUUUUGGAAUUUCGCUUAAGGAUGGACCCGCGUCCUAUCAGCUUGUUGGUAAGGUAACGGCUUACCAAGGCUAAGACGGGUAACUGGUCUAAGAGGACGAUC
This 251-nucleotide ribosomal RNA is filed under the name uncultured bacterium. RNAcentral's name for it is "partial 16S ribosomal RNA". It matches the Rfam family "Bacterial small subunit ribosomal RNA", at positions 57 to 305 of the family's 1533-position model. The record is from RNAcentral.